This 239-nucleotide long non-coding RNA is filed under the name Cicer arietinum (chickpea). RNAcentral describes it as "long non-coding RNA (CARI_LNC000452)". Lineage: Eukaryota; Viridiplantae; Streptophyta; Magnoliopsida; Fabales; Fabaceae. The record is from RNAcentral.
UUGAAAAAGCUCAUUGUAUCAGCAAUUGUCUUGAUACAUUAUGUGAAGCGUUUAGGCAACACAUUCAUAGGCAGAAAACUCAAAAAAAUUCUCUAAGAAUGUUGAUCAACAACUUAGGAAUGAUAUUGUGCAACAUACAACAUAUACUUCGGUUACCAAUAUGGGUAGAUAUUUGGGGGCCUAUGUAGAUCCGAGGAAGACUAGCAGAGGAAAGUUCAAUCACAUUAUUGGAAAAACUC